CAGCAAGAAGUCAGAACGGCUUGAUUUAUGCUUUAAAUCAAUUGACCUUUUGUUGCGAUGUUGUGUUUGCAAACUCGUAUUUCGAGUUCGGUAGGUUUCUACCAGUUUUGUUUCCAUAGGAAACGAAACAUAUACUUCCUGUAUUUAUUUUGACCUGUCUGUCAAAUAUUUAGCACCGCCUCGAUGGCGGUGUUUUUUUAU
Molecule: non-coding RNA, 201 nt
Filed under: Vibrio tubiashii
Lineage: Bacteria; Pseudomonadati; Pseudomonadota; Gammaproteobacteria; Vibrionales; Vibrionaceae
Description: GcvB RNA
Rfam family: GcvB RNA
About the family: The gcvB gene encodes a small untranslated RNA involved in expression of the dipeptide and oligopeptide transport systems in Escherichia coli. Included several unknown homologues in alignment (Bateman A pers obs).
Source: RNAcentral